RNAcentral lists this ribosomal RNA (253 nucleotides) under uncultured bacterium. RNAcentral describes it as "partial 16S ribosomal RNA". It matches the Rfam family "Bacterial small subunit ribosomal RNA", at positions 524 to 776 of the family's 1533-position model. The record is from RNAcentral.
UACAGAGGGUGCAAGCGUUAUUCGGAAUUACUGGGCGUAAAGCGCGCGUAGGCGGCUUGUCAAGUCGGGUGUGAAAUCCCCGGGCUUAACCUGGGAGCUGCAUUCGAAACUGUCUUGCUAGAGUAUGGGAGAGGGAGGUGGAAUUUCAGGUGUAGCGGUGAAAUGCGUAGAUAUCUGAAGGAACAUCAGUGGCGAAAGCGACCUCCUGGACCAAUACUGACGCUCAGGUGCGAAAGCGUGGGGAGCAAACAGG